UAACAAGGAUUCCCCUAGUAACUGCGAGUGAAGCGGGAAAAGCUCAAAUUUAAAAUCUGGCAGUCUUUGGCUGUCCGAGUUGUAAUCUAGAGAAGUGUUAUCCGCGCUGGACCGUGUACAAGUCUCCUGGAAUGGAGCGUCAUAGAGGGUGAGAAUCCCGUCUUUGACACGGACUGCCAGGGCUUUGUGAUGCGCUCUCAAAGAGUCGAGUUGUUUGGGAAUGCAGCUCAAAAUGGGUGGUAAAUUCCAUCUAAAGCUAAAUAUUGGCGAGAGACCGAUAGCGAACAAGUACCGUGAGGGAAAGAUGAAAAGAACUUUGGAAAGAGAGUUAAACAGUACGUGAAAUUGCUGAAAGGGAAACGCUUGAAGUCAGUCGCGUUGGCCAGGGAUCAACCUUGCUUUUGCUUGGUGUACUUUCUGGUUGACGGGUCAGCAUCAAUUUUGACUAUUGGAAAAAGGUCAGGGGAAUGUGACAUCUUCGGAUGUGUUAUAGCCCUUGGUUGUAUACAAUGGUUGGGAUUGAGGAACUCAGCACGCCGCAAGGCCGGGUUUUUAACCACGUACGUGCUUAGGAUGUUGGCAUAAUGGCUUUAAUCGACCCGUCUUGAAACACGGACCAAGGAGUCUAACAUGCCUGCGAGUGUUUGGGUGGAAAACCCGAGCGCGUAAUGAAAGUGAAAGUUGAGAUCCUUGUCAUGGGGAGCAUCGACGCCCGGACCAGACCUUUUGUGACGGUUCCGCGGUAGAGCAUGUAUGUUGGGACCCGAAAGAUGGUGAACUAUGCCUGAAUAGGGUGAAGCCAGAGGAAACUCUGGUGGAGGCUCGUAGCGAUUCUGACGUGCAAAUCGAUCGUCAAAUUUGGGUAUAGGGGCGAAAGACUAAUCGAACCAUCUAGU
RNAcentral lists this ribosomal RNA (896 nucleotides) under Cortinarius galbus. RNAcentral's name for it is "Cortinarius sp. FK-2019a partial large subunit ribosomal RNA". It matches the Rfam family "Eukaryotic large subunit ribosomal RNA", at positions 66 to 948 of the family's 3401-position model. Lineage: Eukaryota; Fungi; Basidiomycota; Agaricomycetes; Agaricales; Cortinariaceae. The record is from RNAcentral.